CCUAAAAGUUCUUUAACAUAGUGCUUAAUUUUGAAAUGUUUCAAUUUUUCUCAUUUAAACUAUUAUUCAUUCCAAUUUUAUCUGCAUAAGUUGAAUUGUGUCCCCAAAGAUGUCAAAGUCCUUGCCCUCAGUACCUGUAAAUGUGAUCCUAUUGUGGGGGUGUGGGGCAGUCAAAUUGUAGAUGUAAUUAGUUAAAAUGAGGUCAUACUGGAGUAAGGUGGGCCCCAAUCCAAUGACUGGUGUCUUUAUAAAAAGGGGAAAUGUGCGCACAGGAAAAACACCAGGUGAAAAUUGGAGUUCUGCUACCACAAGCCAAGAACUACCAGAAGUUAGGAGAGAGGCUUGGAACAAACCUUUCCAUAGAGCCUUCAGAGGGAGCAGGGCUCUGCGAACACUUGACCUCAAACUUCAAUUCUCCAGAACUAUGAGCACCACCGUCCUAGACCCUCAUCAUCUCACAGCUGGAUGAAGUUUCCACACUACCCGUCAGAUGAUGAUGAUCAGUGCACUAGGCCCCAACAGGCCUGCCUUCCCUCAGCCAACCAUGAACACCUGCCACAUGCUGCACACUGGAAAAGAAGAGAAAGUGCAGCUCCUACAUUUGAAGAGCUCAUGGUUUGGCAAGGAAAAACUAAGCAGUAUGUGUUAAGCAAGCACACAAGAAACACUUUGAGGAUCAGAAAAUGUUCAGGAAUGCUCUGAUGCUUGAACUGAGAUAUUUAGAGUAAAAGGGUAAAAAAAGAGCACCUCCUGUAAAUAUGUGAAAGCCAUUCCAGUUAGGAGGAACAAAGGGUAGAAAUACAAAGGGUGUGGCACAUUUGGGGAGUGUGUACAAUAACUGAUUGGAGUUAUCUGGAACCUGGAAUGCACUGGGGAAAGUCAAGAAGAGGUCAGUGGCAUGAGGUGAGACAGGCUGGGGUCACUUCACAAGAGUGCCUAUAUGUAUAUCUUGUAAGUAACAAGGAACUGUUGAAAUAUUGUAACCAGAGGAAUAAAAAUGAGUGACUUAGUAAAUUCAUACUAGAGAUAGUGGGCAGGACAGAUGGAAUGAAAGGAACCUAAAAAGCUACUGAGUGCAGGUUUUGGAGUCCCAGAAC
Molecule: long non-coding RNA, 1097 nt
Organism: Cercocebus atys (sooty mangabey)
Lineage: Eukaryota; Metazoa; Chordata; Mammalia; Primates; Cercopithecidae
Exons: 2
Source: RefSeq, a predicted model, not a curated record